GAAAGACAACUCGCAGGUUUGCAGCUAAUCACAUCCUGAAGGUUUAUUCCAUUUUGAUGAAACACAUCGAUACAUCACAUGCGAUGAUCUUAUUCGCGGGGAUUACAACUCGCACAAGCACGACUGGGAUUCAUCUUACAUCAUGGAGCCACGAACAAAAUGGCGCUUUCCCGUAUUUUGUGCAGCAACACGUAUUAACCUCUCUGCAAGUCCAGUCCCAGCGACGUUGGUGCCCGAUUAGUCGCAUGCAUUCAUCUUUGCAAUGAGUUGUGGUGCAUCCUUGCAAAGACACACAUUUCUCGUCCACAACUGCAGGCGAUAUACCAUCAUAGCGUUAGCUACUCAAUAAGACAAGUUCUUGGUAGGUUAAUUAUCUUGGAUAUCCAUUGACAGACACACACACGCAUGCACGCACGCAACUUACUCUGGACUGCAUGGCAGGGUGGCAAAAUGGAAGCAAACAUCAUCGUAAGGACCAGGAAAGUGAUGGCCACGGUCCUCCUUGUGUCGCUCUGUUUGACAUGUGCCAUGAGGAGAAGAGAUCGACUACUUGUGUUUGCCUUGUUGCUGGUGUGCUCCUUCGCUGCAAAGAUCUCCUUUAGUUUGGUGGUGUUUAUAUAGAGGCAUAGUCGUAUCCUCAACAGAUGUU
RNAcentral lists this long non-coding RNA (649 nucleotides) under Triticum aestivum (bread wheat). RNAcentral describes it as "long non-coding RNA (TAES_LNC012774)". Lineage: Eukaryota; Viridiplantae; Streptophyta; Magnoliopsida; Poales; Poaceae. The record is from RNAcentral.